This 1005-nucleotide long non-coding RNA is filed under the name Calidris pugnax (ruff). RNAcentral's name for it is "lncRNA (ENSCPUG00000007393.1)". The record is from RNAcentral. Lineage: Eukaryota; Metazoa; Chordata; Aves; Charadriiformes; Scolopacidae.
CCUUUAAUUAGCGCUAAUUAAGCUUAAUGAGGCUUAACCCCAAUUAACCCUUAAUUAGCCUCAAAUUACCUCAAAUUACCCCAACUUACCCCAAAACACCCCAAAAUACUCCCUUAUCCGCCCUUAGUUAGCGCUAAUUAGGCUUAAUGAGGCCUCAUUAAGGCCCCGCCCACACGGAGAGGCCACGCCCCCUCUUUAAUUAACCCUAAUUACCCUUAAUUACCAUUAAUUAGCACCAAAUUACUCCAAAAAACCCCAGAAUACCCCAAAAUACCCCCAUUCCCGCCCUUAAUUAGCGCUAAUUAGUGCUAAUUAACGCUAAUUAAUUAGGGCGGAAGAAGCCCCUGGUGGCGGUGACGGGCGCCGACGGACUGACCCACCUCUGGGAGCCCCUGCAGGUGGCUCCGCCCCUCCCCCUCUGCGGGGCGGGGCUUAAUGCCGUGGGGGGGGUGGUGGGGGAGGGGUCUGGCCCCGCCCCCAUCGCCUCUGGCCCCGCCUCUUCCGGUUCCGGCCCCACCUCUUCCGGUUCCGGCCCCGGUUCUUCCGGGUCUGGCCCCGCCUCUUCCGGCUCAGGCCCCGCCCCCCUCCUGCUGACGGCGGCGGCCGAUGGGACCCUGCGCCUGACGCCCCUCCCCCUCCCGGGUACGGACCCACAGAUCUAUGGGGCUGGGACCCACUUAUGGGGCAGGACCCCCAUCUAUGGGGCUGGGACCCACAUAAGGGGGGCUGGGAGUCACUUAUGGGGGGCGGGACCCACACUUAUGGGGCUGGGACCCAAAUCUUUGGGGCUGGGACCCACUUCUAUGGGGCUGGGACCCACUUAUGGGGGGCGGGACCUACAUCUAUGGGGCUGGGACCCCAAUCUAUGGGGCUGGGCCCCCCAUCUAUGGGGCUGGGACCCAGAUCUAUGGGGCUGGGACCCACAGCUGUGGGGCUGGGAGCCACUUAUGGGGCUGGGACCCACAUCUGGGGGGCAGGAUCCAGAUCUAUGGGGCUGGGACCCAG